UCAAAACGCUGUUCGUCUUUGACGAACACUUUAGUGUUCAUGCGCAUAGGCUCUUCGGCCGAUCACGUAAGAGCGGGUGCAGCAUUAGUGUGGCUGUACCAGACACGAGCAGUCUCAGUAUAUGACGGAAGCUUGUGCCGAAUGUUCAACAUCUGCUGCCACUGCUUUCUAGCCACCACAUCUUAACAGUGAGAAGUUGAUCUAAACCUGCUUUACCGUCCAAGCUCCAUCUAUUGAUAGGUUAAAGAAUUCUGGGGAAAAUAGCAGGAGUUGUCCUAUACGUUUUGAAACAUCACCUAGAGAUAAUAUUUUAAACUAUCUUAUCUUUUUCGUCUUGGUACUCCAGAGAGCCACAAAUCAUUGGAUAAAACAGUCUUUUUUUUAUCCUUGAUUAUAUAUUAUGACACAGUAAAGAACAUUGUCGCUCCUUGUCAUCAUCACCAUUAACACACGUUUGGUUUUACCCAAUUUUCCGAAAUUUCCUGGGGCCAGCCUACUAGACCAGCGACCAACCAGUUGAACUGAGCCAGCUGUUCUUUCACCGAUGCGAUAAAUAUAACGGAGAAGACGGACAGUGUUGGAGAUUGCAUGAGUCACAGUUAUCCAGACAGUUCAGACACAGUGUCGCCCCAAUAAGCAACCCUUUCUGUUCUUCUCUCGCUUCUGUGGGAGUACCUGAAACUAAAAACUUGGUGGAUCGACUCGGCGUCAUCUAGCCAACCAGACAGACAAACCUACCAAACCCGCUGUGCACGGGGCAGCCUUAACCCUUUCAUUCCAGGUGUACGUGCGUGAAAGGCUCAGCGGUUUCAGCGCAUUUCGAACGGCGUAGUCUGGUAUUCAGUAAUUCGUCUAGCCAAUCCAAGUAUUACAAAAAGUGGUCCUCGUCAGUUCGCCCCACCACACAUCGCCGAAGCUUAGGUUUCUAUCCCAGGCCAAACAUUUAGCAGGGAGAGACUGCUACUACGUUCUUAUCGCCCACUUGCCGGAAUUGAAGGAGCAUUUGACGUUGGAAUUUGGAGGCUCCUUUGUGGUUUAUUCUUCUAGAAGAUUCGAUGAUUAUGGCCAUGGUAAACAACCUUCCGACGGUCAAAGACUCUCGCUGGCUGCAGCUGGAGGUUUGCCGAGAAUAUCAGCGAAACAAAUGCACCAGACCUGACACGGAGUGCAAGUUUGCCCAUCCACCUGGAAAUGUGGAGGUUCAGAACGGAAGGGUAAUUACGUGCUACGAUUCCAUAAAGGGUCGGUGUAAUAGAGAAAAACCACCCUGUAAGUACUUUCACCCUCCGCAACACCUAAAGGAUCAGCUUUUGAUAAAUGGGAGAAACCAUCUUGCCCUUAAGAAUGCCUUGUUACAGCAGAUGCCUCUCCAACCAGUUCUCCACAGCCAGAUUCCAACUGUGGCUGCAACGAACUCCUACUUGGCCACUCUUCCCACGAUGGCCACACCUUCAACGUUCAGUCCCUACUUUAGUCCAAGUCCCAUGAUGGGGAUGAUGCCAGCUGAUGCCAUGGCACCACUAAGUGUUAUACCCACACCUAUGGUCACGCCUCAGAAGGUGCCACGUACGGACAGGUUAGAGGUUUGCCGAGAAUAUCAACGCGGCAACUGUAAAAGGACAGAAACUGAGUGCCGCUUCGCUCACCCCCAAGAGCACGUGGCUGUGGACGUUGUGGAAGGCAUGGUGACAGUCUGUAUGGAUUUCAUGAAAGGAAGGUGCACGCGGGAUCCAUGCCGCUACUUUCACCCUCCGCUUCACUUGCAGUCACAACUAAAGGCUGCCCAAAGUAGAGUUAACACCGCUUCUAUGGCUUUUCCUGGUAUGAUUCCUUGCACCAAAAGGCCAGCACUUGACAAAAGCGGACUCCCCAUGUACCAGCCAAGUACCACACCGUAUCAACAAGCUCUCACCAUGCAGGUUCAGCAGCCCUUCGUGCCUGUUUCCUUUGCUGUACACCCUGGGACUGUGCCAAGAUUUUAAGUCAGGUUUGUGUAAUUGAUCACCAUGUCGCUCUGUUCAUCUUUGAGAAGUAAGGUUUUGUGAAAGUUGUGGAUGGGAAAGCGACAAUGUUUCAUUAUUUGUUCAAAGGGAAAUUCUGUUGCCCUUUAUGCAAGUGCUAUCAUCUUCUUGCGGCCACGCCCUUUUUAGAGAUCUUGGUGUAGUUAUGCCAAGGUUUUAUCUAGGGCUAGAGUUAUAGGCUAUCUUGUAUGAUUUUGCCUCUUUGGGACUAGGGGGAUCCAAAUAAAAGAUAUUUAAGUUGAUGAUGACGUUAAAUAAAAAGUUGACGUGUAUCACUAACCCUAAUAUAUUCGAUUGCGUGAGAUCAAAAAUGAAAUAACAUACUUCAAAAUUGGUGAAAUCUUUUUUUUUUCUCUCUCUCUCUCUCUUUAAAUGCUGAAAUUUGAACCGAUGUUCGAUGAUGAAUUUGAAAUUUCUACCAAAAGAGUUUAUAUUUGAUAAUCAUGAACUUGUUUGGAGCUCUAGUCACACAUUCGACAAACAUGAAAAAUCUAAAUCUCUCUCACGUGCCAUUAAUUAUGACCACAUUCGAGACGUAUUUUUACUUGAAGAAGUAUGAAUGUUGAAGAAAAAGGUAUUUUCAAUUCCAUAUUACUUCCUCUCCAAACCAGCUCUUCUAUGUUGUGAUACUAGUUUUAAAAUAUAUUUACAUUUCUUUAACUGCAAAUAAUGUAGUAUCAUUUGGUGAUGGGUUAUGAACAGUUAAUGUUUAUGCAAAGUUAAAACACACGUUUUAAUCAUUUUUGGAUUAAGAAUGACCGACACAUUAUAAGAUAAUAAGAAAUUAUCAGAUAUAGGCUCAUUUUGAUGGCUAUUUGUUACUUGAAACUUAAAAACAGACGACUAUAUUGUUGUAUUUUUGAAUCAGUUAACGUUAAAUUUCAAUUCAAUUUGAUUAACUUUUUUAAAAUGUUUCCGUUAAUUUAUAAGUGUUAAAGUAACCCAAUGUUUUUUUGUAUUAUACUACAAGCAAAUGAAAUAAAUAUUAAACCCUGACACCAUAUAUAUACAUAUAUAUAUAUAUAUAUGUGAAAAUAUAUUAUAUUGAUAAUUAAUUAUUUUUAAAGACAUGAACUUACUUUAAAGUGUGUAGCUAAAACACCAUAAACAGAAAGAUAAGAAAUGAUGAUGAUAUGAGUUUGUGUAAACUUGAAAAGUAUAAGAUUAUGGUAUGAUAAUAUUUCUAUUGAUGGAUGUGUUCAUAUCUUUGAUUAAAAAUUGAAUGCGUUUCUCAUACGUGAUUUUGUUUUGUUUAAAUAUGGGUGUUACUAUUAAGUUUGCACUAUUUCGAAAUGUAAGGAAGAAGUCUGUUAUUGAUAGGUUUUCUUCUAUAUAAUAUUUACACAGCUUCAAAGGUAGUUAACGAUGGUAACGAAGGUUGUGUAUUUUUUAUUCAGCUAUAUUAACCAUUAUUACUAGUGUCCAAACUGAGUACUAAUAGUCGUAUGCGAUUGAAUGAAGUGAUUGAAUUAGCCUCAAAAGUCAUUAUGAAAUAUAUCAAGGUUAUGUGUUAAAACUUCCCCAAACUCUCUACUGGGUAUUAAAAAGUAUAUAUUUUAACGUUUGUGGUAAAUCAAUUCGGUUAAAAACCUAUGUCAAAAUGUGUGAUGUAUACACUAUGAUGCAUACUGGUUGAAGUUUGAAGUUUCAGUUCAAAGAUUGUUGGAUUGAGUUACAAAUAUGCCAAUUGGCGUAUGCAUUUUCAAAAUUUGUAAGGUUUAUGUUUUUACUCUCUUCAAAAUAUACACGCGAAAUGUGAAGAACAACAGAAGCUUUUACACUUACACGUAUUUCUCAUGCUUGCAGGUCACAAAGUUUAAUAAUUUCAUUACUUGAAGUUUCUCGGUCUUGCGAACACCCAUUUCCUUGCAACAUCGAAACCAUGUACUAGGUUCUGCCUAAAUUCCAGCUUCUCCAAAAUUUGAUUUGAUUGGUUGGUAUAAACAUAACAUCAUCCACUUAAAGCAUGAAUUAUCACCUUUACUACUCGUCUAGAUCCAGGCCAUCGAUGAACAUAAUUAAUCAAAUGUUUGAAAUUAUCGAGCUUGGCAGACUUGCCACUUUUUUGUUUUUGACAAAUCAGUCAAGCAAAAUAAAAUGGUAAACAAGGGAAUGAGUAAAGUUCGAGUAUUGGCUGAAAAUGCUAAUUUCAUACUAAAUGCCUCUGGAUUUUGAGCUUUCAAUCAGAUAUAUUUUCAUAUAACUAUGUUAAAAACGAGAGAAAUUAUCCCAACAAAUAACAAAUAUAUAUCCUUAAUCUGUUUGACGAGACUGUGACUGUAGAAAGCAACAGUGACACUAGUAAUCCUUAUACUGUGACUGUAGAAGGCAACAGCGGCUCUAGCUAUCCUUAAACUGUGAUGAGACUGUGAAUAUAGAAGGCAACAGCAACACUAGCUAUUCUGAAGCUAUGUUAUAAGACUGUAACUGUAG
Limulus polyphemus (Atlantic horseshoe crab) is the source of this 4454-nucleotide RNA transcript. It is a transcript of the gene named muscleblind-like protein 1, with no coding region annotated. The record is from RefSeq and is a predicted model, not a curated record. The transcript is spliced from 8 exons. Lineage: Eukaryota; Metazoa; Arthropoda; Merostomata; Xiphosura; Limulidae.